CAGAUCGGAUCAUAGGAAAGAAGUUGUAGGCCAGGGAAUGGUGGGGGAGAAAAAGGAGAAACUACAUUUCCCAGAAAGCCAAGGGACAUGAGCGCUGAUCUCUCUGCACCAGAGCAGGAUGUAGGUGAGGAAGAAAUCAGCCUCUCUCUUUUCCUCCUGCCACCUGUUAAGUGAGGAGUCACUUCAGAGCUGGAUUCGCCUAGGAAAAUGGCAGCGGUUUGGAGGCAGGCCCGCUUCACUCUGCUUUAAGAACCCCGGACAAAUUCUGAUCUCACUCCAGAGUCAGGAGGCACUGGUCACAGGUUCGGUUCUUCACCCAGCUCCGGAUCUCAUCCCUCCAGCACUUGGACUCAUUUCAGUUCCAAACACCACGGGGAUUAUCAUCAAGAAGCAAUGAUAAAAUGUGGACACGUUCCUGAUUUUUUUUCCACCCUCGAUCUCCCAGACACAGCAACUAAUUCACAAUUAACUAUUUUUCUCUGGGAAAGAAUAAUUACCAUUGUUUUUGGUGUGUGGUAUGUGUUAAGUGCUUACUAUGUACCAGACACUGUAAUAAGCACUGGGAUAGAUACAACUUAAUGAGGUUGGAUACAGUCCAUGUCCCACA
Ornithorhynchus anatinus (platypus) is the source of this 607-nucleotide long non-coding RNA. RefSeq lists it as uncharacterized. Lineage: Eukaryota; Metazoa; Chordata; Mammalia; Monotremata; Ornithorhynchidae. The record is from RefSeq and is a predicted model, not a curated record. The transcript is spliced from 3 exons.